This is a long non-coding RNA of Fundulus heteroclitus (mummichog), 243 nucleotides long. RefSeq lists it as uncharacterized. Lineage: Eukaryota; Metazoa; Chordata; Actinopteri; Cyprinodontiformes; Fundulidae. The record is from RefSeq and is a predicted model, not a curated record. The transcript has 3 exons.
AACAUCAGGGUCCAUCGACAAUAUUAUCGGCUCCCUGAAGGGACAUUACAAGUUGCGAAAGUUGCAAAGUUGCUUAUGGCCUGUGGAAGAGGAGAGCUAUCAAAAUUUAAAGGCCUGACAUUGGACGAGAUCAACGUUGAUCCAAAUGAGGAAGUACCUGAAGACAGCUCUCUAUCUGGAAGUGAAGAUGAAGAUGUGAUGUCGAGUCUAUCCUCUAACUCAUCAGGUCUAAGACCAGUGAAA